UGUGUUCAGUCAGCGACUUCCCAGGAAGACUUGGGCCGCAUGGGAAGAAAUUUAAGUUUCCAGCCUGUGUCCCUAGGGCCGUCUGAAUGGAGCCGGUGUUUGAGCCUGUCCUGCACCUCGUGUAGUUUGUCGGAGGUGGUCCUGUCCUCCGUGGCCAGCUCCAUCCACUGUGGGUUUGAGGGAAGCCCUCCUGAUUUCGUCACCAUCAUCACACCUGCUGGAGGAUGGUCACGUGCUGGAGCACGCAGGAGUGGUGCUGUGUCUGAAUCUGGCACCGAGCGCAGGCAGGGAGAGGUUCACGUGGUGAGAUCUGCCUUGGGAACCACCCUCUCCAAAGCCGACAUCCUGUGAGAUUCACGAGCAGUGUUCUGAGCCUUCUCAGCAGUGCCUCUUCCUGCUAUGGACGCUCAAUGCCUGUCUGGUUAAUAAAGGACACGAACC
Long non-coding RNA from Bos taurus (domestic cattle), 441 nucleotides. Lineage: Eukaryota; Metazoa; Chordata; Mammalia; Artiodactyla; Bovidae. The record is from Ensembl.